UCUGCUAUCAUGAAUAAGGAUUAUAUAAGUUCAUAAUACGGAUGAAUGUUUCUACUAACUACCGCAAAUAGUUAUCUAUAAUUCAAUUAUAGGUAUAU
RNAcentral lists this non-coding RNA (98 nucleotides) under Coprococcus sp. CAG:782. RNAcentral's name for it is "Purine riboswitch aptamer". It matches the Rfam family "Purine riboswitch aptamer". Rfam says of the family: Riboswitches are metabolite binding domains within certain messenger RNAs that serve as precision sensors for their corresponding targets. Allosteric rearrangement of mRNA structure is mediated by ligand binding, and this results in modulation of gene expression. A class of riboswitches that selectively recognises guanine and becomes saturated at concentrations as low as 5 nM. The record is from Rfam by way of RNAcentral. RNAcentral also lists the same sequence under 1 other name. Lineage: Bacteria; Bacillati; Bacillota; Clostridia; Lachnospirales; Lachnospiraceae.